AACGAACGCUGGCGGCGCGCCUAAUACAUGCAAGUCGAGCGAGAAGGUGUAGCAAUACACUUGUAAAGCGGCGAACGGGUGAGGAAUGCAUGGGUAACCUACCCUCGAGUGGGGAAUAACUAGCCGAAAGGUUAGCUGAUACCGCAUACGUUUCCGGAACUUCGGUUUCGGAAAGAAAGCAAUACCGUGGGUAUUGCGCUCCUGGAUGGGCUCAUGUCCUAUCAGCUUGUUGGUGAGGUUAACGGCUCACCAAGGCUUCGACGGGUAGCUGGUCUGAGAGGACGAUCAGCCACACUGGCACUGCGACACGGGCCAGACUCCUACGGAGCAGCAGUAAGGAAUAUUGCGCAAUGGACAAAGUCUGACGCAGCGACG
This 375-nucleotide ribosomal RNA is filed under the name uncultured bacterium. Its description in RNAcentral is "bacterial SSU rRNA". It matches the Rfam family "Bacterial small subunit ribosomal RNA", at positions 29 to 396 of the family's 1533-position model. The record is from RNAcentral.